CUCCCAAGAAAUUGAGGAUGACUUCUCACCUUCACAAGUCCUAAGGAGCUGCGACUUAAGAAUGCUGACUUCCGGGGGGGGAAUCAGAAUGGAAUGUUGUCAAAUUCUAGUGCCCUGAGUUGGGGGGUGGUGGAUAUACCCCCUGGAAAAGGUACUGCAAAAAGGUGCAUGCUUAUCCUGCCUUAUCACAACUCAUUCCAGAAUUUUCUCUUCUGCUCCAGGAGAGAAGCCAAAUAAGCUGGUCACAUUUGCUCACCCUUGCUUAUGGCCUGGGAGGGCCACCGUUCCAGAGUGGACCCUCACCAUACACAGGCACUCUAGCACUGAGACCAUCUGUCUUCUCCAGAGUUCAAGUGUCGUUCAAGAAUUCACUGAUAGCAGGGGAAGGAUCUCUUGAUAACCCUAAUGGGUUUCUCAGUUGCCAACCAAGAUCUGAAAAACCUUAAACAAUUACAGAGAAAUCUGGAUUCUUCAAACAAAUGUGAGUGGCAAAAAUUUGCCCACGAAAAGUUUUAAGAUGUAUAUGAACAGAAAAUGUGCAUUUCACCCAAU
RNAcentral lists this long non-coding RNA (552 nucleotides) under Bos indicus x Bos taurus (hybrid cattle). RNAcentral's name for it is "lncRNA (ENSBIXG00000025274.1)". Lineage: Eukaryota; Metazoa; Chordata; Mammalia; Artiodactyla; Bovidae. The record is from RNAcentral.